This 29-nucleotide non-coding RNA is filed under the name Bombyx mori (domestic silkworm). Lineage: Eukaryota; Metazoa; Arthropoda; Insecta; Lepidoptera; Bombycidae. The record is from RNAcentral.
UCAGUGAUCGGUAAUCGCCACAAGGACGC